ACCAAUUGUUGAAGAAAGAUGAUCUUGGUGAAUAAAUGGAAAAAUAAUUUAUGGAGUUUUGCUUAUCACAAUAGAGAAGUGGCUUCCUUGCAGCAAUUCAGAGAUUUAUCAUAGAGUACUUUUCCUUUAUUUGUCUAAUUUCUAUGCCCAAUUAGGAUUAAGAAGGGGUGGGGGGGGGAGAAAGGGGAAAAAAAUCUACAACAACCACAAUUGUUGAAAAAAGUAUUAAUGAGCAAAUUGAUAAAAUGACGAAACUGUACCAACAGAGGAGUGACUUUCUUGCAGGAACUCAAUGAUAUUCACUAAAUAUUAUCUGUCCAUUUCUUUAUUUCUCUACUUUCUCUGCCCAGGAUUCAGGAAUAAUUUCGGAUGACAGCUAAAAAUUAAAAUUCAAUUGUACAUAAAUCACAUUGUUAUAACAUCUUUUAACCAUGUCCCGAUGAUAAGAAGGUAAACUAUGUCAAAAGGCAAGUAUGUGGUGGGUCCUUGCUGGUUCAUCCUGGAGUUGCUACCUUUGAUUCCAGAUCAAAACCAUUAAACAGUGGUACUUGACUAUUUCCCCCUAGACAAAAUCAAAUUUUUUUUUCUGUUAACAUGUAUAUGAACUGCCUGCACAAAAACCUCCCAAAAUCCAGGAAUGAGUAGACAACCACUCCCUCCAUUCUGCAAAGACUUUUGUUUCCAUUUUCAUAGAUUAAGGGUUAGGGUGCCUUGGUGAAAAUCAGUGUUUUCAAUAUGGAUUUUAAAUUCAUGUUUUUUUUUUUGGUAAAAUAGUGAGAAAAUGUCAACUUCAAAACAAGCAGUUAAUGAGACUGCAAAAUGGAGCCAAGCAAAUGUAGACACACUUAUUGUUCUGAUGGUAGAGGAAGUUAAGAAAGGAAAUAGGACUACUUCAACUUUUAAUAAAGCUGGUUGGAACAACAUUGCCAAUAACUUCAAAGAAAAAACUGGGGUCAACUAUGCCAUUGUAUAGUUGAAGAACAAAGUGAACAAACUCAGGCAGGAUUAUAGUCAGUUUAAGAAGCUAUUGGAGACAACUGGUUUUGGUUGGGAUACUGCUUCAAGAACUUGUACUGUUGAUGAUGAAUCCAUCUGGGAAUCGCAUAUUAAGGAUAACCCUACUUGGGCACGAUUUAAGAAGCACGGACUACCACAAUGGCCAGAACUAUGUAUGGUAUUUGGUGAUACAUAUGCAAACGGCGAAGGAAGUGGGACUCAAACAACUAUGUUGGAAACUUUGAGGGCCGAUGAUGCUAGGAAUAUGAUUGAGUCUUGUGAUGAGUCAAGUUCCGCUGAUGAAGUUACUCCAUUGGGUGACACUCAAACUGAAGCAGUGGAAAAAAGGCCAGCUACUAAGCAUAGGCAUGAUAGGACUCCAAAUGCGAAAAGGAGGAGGAGCAAGUCUAAUGAUUGGUCAAUGGCAUGCAAAGCAAUUCAAGAUAUGAGUAAAUCAAGGGAAAACGAGAUGCGAGCAUGUCCACUGCUUCAACCCAAAAUACGGAACAGAUGUACGGGAUUACUAGGGCCAUGGAGGUGCUUGAGUCAGCAUAUGAGUUAGAUGAAGCACUAUACGAGAAAGCACUUCGGAAUUAAUAGCUGACCCGCAAUGGAGAGAAGCAUUAAUUUCCUGCCCUCCUCAUCAGAAGUCAAUACUCCUUUGUACCCUUCAGUAGUUUGCUUCAUGAAAAGUUCUUUUAAUUAGAUAGAUUGAUAACUCUACUUGGAUUGUGCCUUGACACUACUUUUAACUUUGAUGGUUUGCUAUGUUUUCCUUCACUUUUUAAGA
This is a long non-coding RNA of Macadamia integrifolia, 1786 nucleotides long. RefSeq lists it as uncharacterized. The transcript is spliced from 2 exons. Lineage: Eukaryota; Viridiplantae; Streptophyta; Magnoliopsida; Proteales; Proteaceae. The record is from RefSeq and is a predicted model, not a curated record.